AGUGAACGCUGGCGGUAUGCCUAACACAUGCAAGUCGAACGGCAGCACAGUAAGAUCUUGCUCUUAUGGGUGGCGAGUGGCGGACGGGUGAGGAAUACAUCGUAAUCUACUUUUUCGUGGGGGAUAACGUAGGGAAACUUACGCUAAUACCGCAUACCACCUACGGGUGAAAGCAUGGGAUCUUCGGACCUUGCGCGAUUGAAUGAGCCGAUGUCGGAUUAGCUAGUUGGCGGGGUAAAGGCCCACCAAGGCGACGAUCCGUAGCCGGUCUGGGAGGAUGAUCAGCCACACUGGAACUGAGACACGGUCCAGACUCCUACGGGAGGCAGCAGUGGGGAAUAUUGGACAAUGGGGGCAAGCCUGAUCCAGCCAUACCGCGUGGGUGAAGAAGGCCUUCGGGUUGUAAAGCCCUUUUGUUGGGAAAGAAAAGCAGCAGGUUAAUACCCCGCUGUUCUGACGGUACCCAAAGAAUAAGCACCGGCUAACUUCGUG
Molecule: ribosomal RNA, 492 nt
Filed under: uncultured bacterium
Lineage: Bacteria
Description: partial 16S ribosomal RNA
Rfam family: Bacterial small subunit ribosomal RNA
Source: RNAcentral